This is a long non-coding RNA of Cygnus olor (mute swan), 545 nucleotides long. RefSeq lists it as uncharacterized. Lineage: Eukaryota; Metazoa; Chordata; Aves; Anseriformes; Anatidae. The record is from RefSeq and is a predicted model, not a curated record. The transcript has 2 exons.
CUUCAGAUUUUACCGUUGCCUUUAAAAGAUUUCAUUGUAAAUAUUAAAAGUCCUGAAAGAAAUAAUUAGCAUUCAGUGAUCUUAAUCCCAGAGCAGCUGUCUGGACCACACCAAAAAUAAUCAGAGCAAAAUUGGUGAGGGAAGGCGGCUGUAUUAUUCCCUAAACUGUUACCAUCCUGGACCGAAAAACCCGUCGAAAUCGGAUCUAUUCUUCGCAUGUAAUUGACCGGAGAAACGUGGAUCUUACAUGGUCACGUUUCCUUUCCUCCUUUCACAAAACAGGAACGUCAUCAAACGCAUUGGCAGCUUGUACAGACCAUUGUGGAUGGCAAGGCGGCCAGGGCUCUAUCGGCGAUUGCAGGGACCUCCUUUUGAUGCAUUGGACGAGGCUCCUUCUUUCUCUCCACCACCGUCCCCACCUUCAUUUUCCUCCCCUUCUGUCCUCCUCCUCCUCUGACUGUUGUUCUCUCUCACAGGCAUUGACAUUCAACCAUCGCAAGUCUGUCGCACUCUCGCUGGCAGGAAAAAAUAAAAAAUAAAAAAUC